GAAAUUUUAGCUUAAUAAGGAAAGUGUUCGUUUUGCAGACGAGAGUUAAGAGUUUUCUUAAAUUUUC
RNAcentral lists this transfer RNA (67 nucleotides) under Halocynthia spinosa. RNAcentral describes it as "transfer RNA-Ala". It matches the Rfam family "tRNA". Rfam says of the family: Transfer RNA (tRNA) molecules are approximately 80 nucleotides in length. Their secondary structure includes four short double-helical elements and three loops (D, anti-codon, and T loops). Lineage: Eukaryota; Metazoa; Chordata; Ascidiacea; Stolidobranchia; Pyuridae. The record is from RNAcentral.